RNAcentral lists this ribosomal RNA (136 nucleotides) under Jenufa minuta. Its description in RNAcentral is "large subunit ribosomal RNA". Lineage: Eukaryota; Viridiplantae; Chlorophyta; Chlorophyceae. The record is from RNAcentral.
GAAUUUAAAAUAGAUAGCCAAACGUUCUGUAAAUUGUUAAAGCUAGUCUGUUAAGACUAGUCAAAAUAUCAGAAUUGAUAAUGCUGACAUAAGUAGCAAAAAUGGUUACCAUGACCGACAAUUCGUGGUUUUCUGC